GGCAAGCUCACUGCUAAAGUGAAUAUCGCUUUAGCGCAGUCUUAUAUGUUGCAGUGGAAUGUCAGUCCCUUAGAGAGUAUCUUCUUAUCAGUAUUCGACCAAUUAAGCGGUCAAGUGUCCACUUAAGUAGCACCUAGAAGCCAUUAAAUUCUUGUAAUGACCCCAAUUCUGAACCCCGGAUGCUACACAAUGCUCAUAAUCCCGAUGAACUAUAAGCUAACCCAUGAAUGGUACCUGCUGCAAUAACUUAAUAAUAAUACUGUAUAAUGCAGAAAUUUUGUAGAAACUUGCCAUAAGGUUGAAAACUAAAAUACAACUGUGUAAGGUAUAACAAUACAAAAAUAAAACAAUUAUCUUAAAAUACUCUAGUCUGAAAAGCC
Molecule: long non-coding RNA, 380 nt
Filed under: Capsicum annuum
Lineage: Eukaryota; Viridiplantae; Streptophyta; Magnoliopsida; Solanales; Solanaceae
Description: long non-coding RNA (CANN_LNC001745)
Source: RNAcentral